UCAGAAACUCUUACUAGUAUGAUGUGCAUCAAACUGGAGAAUAAGAAACGAUGAAAUGUCCUGUACAUGACUGAUUACAACUAAGCAAAACAACUCAAGUAACAAGCCACAGAGGACAAAAAAUUCACAAAUAUGUCAUGAUUACUUCAACAUCGACAUCAGUGAAAAACAUUUGACAUCUGGCCUAGAAAAUCAGACAGCAGACCACAGAGACUUUGAUUAAAAAACUUCAUGCAAUUUUCUGCAAUCAGUCACAGAAAGUUGCUGAAGCCAUUGCAAAUACAAUACCCCAUCUUCCUCUUCUGUCACAAGGACAAAGUCCCUG
This is a long non-coding RNA of Gavialis gangeticus (Gharial), 325 nucleotides long. RefSeq lists it as uncharacterized. NCBI's taxonomy places the organism in Eukaryota, Metazoa, Chordata, Crocodylia, Gavialidae. The record is from RefSeq and is a predicted model, not a curated record. The transcript has 3 exons.